UUCACGGAGAGUUUGAUCCUGGCUCAGGACGAACGCUGGCGGCGUGCUUAACACAUGCAAGUCGAACGGUGAACUGGAGCUUGCUUCGGGGAUCAGUGGCGAACGGGUGAGUAACACGUGGGCAACCUGCCCCUGACUUUGGGAUAACUCCUCGAAAGAGGGGCUAAUACCGGAUAUGACCAUUGCGGGCAUCUGUGGUGGUGGAAAGGUUUUUCGGUUAGGGAUGGGCCCGCGGCCUAUCAGCUUGAUGGUGGGGUGAUGGCCUACCAUGGCGACGACGGGUAGCCGGCCUGAGAGGGCGACCGGCCACACUGGGACUGAGACACGGCCCAGACUCCUAC
Molecule: ribosomal RNA, 341 nt
Filed under: Actinomycetes bacterium
Lineage: Bacteria; Bacillati; Actinomycetota; Actinomycetes
Description: bacterial SSU rRNA
Rfam family: Bacterial small subunit ribosomal RNA
Source: RNAcentral